GACGAACGCUGGCGGCGUGCUUAACACAUGCAAGUCGAACGGAAAGGCCCUGCUUUUGUGGGGUGCCCGAGUGGCGAACGGGUGAGUAACACGUGAGUAACCUGCCCUUGACUUUGGGAUAACUUCAGGAAACUGGGGCUACUAUCGGAUAGGAGCUCCUGUUGCAUGGUGGGGGUUGGAAAGUUUCGGCGGGUGGGGAUGGAUGCGCGGCUUAUCAGCUUGUUGGUGGGGUAGUGGCUGACCAAGGCUUUGACGGGUAGCCGGCCUGAGAGGGUGAACGGCCACAUUGGGACUGAGAUACGGCCCAGACUCCUACGGGAGGCAGCAGUGGCGAAUAUUGCACAAUGGGCGGAAGCCUGAUGCAGCAACGCCGCGUGCGGGAUGACGGCCUUCGGGUUGUAAACCGCUUUCGCCUGUGACGAAGCGUGAGUGACGGUAAUGGGUAAAGAAGCACCGGCUAACUACGUG
This 468-nucleotide ribosomal RNA is filed under the name uncultured bacterium. Its description in RNAcentral is "partial 16S ribosomal RNA". It matches the Rfam family "Bacterial small subunit ribosomal RNA", at positions 28 to 507 of the family's 1533-position model. The record is from RNAcentral.